This 407-nucleotide ribosomal RNA is filed under the name uncultured bacterium. Its description in RNAcentral is "partial 16S ribosomal RNA". It matches the Rfam family "Bacterial small subunit ribosomal RNA", at positions 28 to 526 of the family's 1533-position model. The record is from RNAcentral.
GACGAACGCUGGCGGCGUGCCUAAUACAUGCAAGUAGGACGCAGUCGCGAACGGGUGAGUAACGCGUAGGUAACUACCUAUUAGUGGGGGAUAACUAUUGGAAACGAUAGCUAAUACCGCAUACUAGUCGAUUGACCUGCGUUGUAUUAUCUAGUAGGUCGGGUAAUGGCCUACCUAGGCAACGAUACAUAGCCGACCUGGGAGGGGGGUCGGGCACAAUGGGGAUGGGAAACGGGCCAGAAUCCUACGGGGGGGAACAGGAGGGGAACUUCGGAAAUGGGGGGAAACCUGGCCAAGCAACGCCGCGGGAGUGAAGAAGGUUUUCGGAUCGUAAAGGUCUGUUGUUAAGGAAACGGUACUUAACCAGAAAGGGACGGCUAACUACGUGCCAGCAGCCGCGGUAAUUC